This 907-nucleotide unclassified non-coding RNA is filed under the name Hevea brasiliensis (rubber tree). Lineage: Eukaryota; Viridiplantae; Streptophyta; Magnoliopsida; Malpighiales; Euphorbiaceae. The record is from RNAcentral.
UGACUUUCUCCUUUGGAUUAGGGAAAAUACUCUUACCCCUGAGGACAGUGUGACAGCCUGACAAAAUAGCUCCCAUAAAAUCCAAAUUUUUUCACAAGGCAGCCUGCCGGGUGAGGUUCAGUAUGCGUGAGUCCUUGUGGGGCAAAGGGUAGGUGUGCGCUGUUGGGCAGGCAGUGCGUGUGGAAAUGAGGUUCAUAUGCUGACAGGGCAGGCAGGUGCGUAGGAGAAUCAGUGAGGCGCUGUAGCGCAUUGUGGGGUUGCGGGGUGCGCAAGGAAACGAGGUUCAACGAGCGAGCAGGCGAGCAGAAUGCGCACUGGUGUGCACGGAGCACCUGGCAAGUGAGGUUUAAGCGCCUGGAGAGUGUUGGAAGCUCUUGAAGCUGGCAGGCCGAUAUGAGGUUCACACCUGGAAAUCUCCGGAACCACCUGGGACAGUCUUGCACCGCAUAAUGGACCAGUUGGCUAAAGGUUAUUGGGCAGCAGCCCUCCCUAGGUGGGCCACCAUGGUUGCCGACCUACAAGCUUCAUGAAGGAUCUUUUGAGUGUUCUCCAAGCAUAUUCGGAUUUUUCUAAGGCAAGUGGGCUAGAUAUCUAGCUUGGAUAUUUUCUGAGGCCAAAUCUCCACUGUCCAAAGUAAUGAGGUGAUCAAGAGGAGAUCCUAGCCAUCCAAAUGAGGCUCAAUCUCCACCACAAGUUGAGGCGGCAUUUUCUCCACCACAAGCUAAGACGGCUAGCUAGGGACUUCCGUGCUCAUUUGUACACACCUCGAGUCACUUGUAUAAUUAGCUUUGUAAAGCUAUUCUCUUGUAGCCUCAGACUUGUACAGCCAAUUUUAUUGGGUUAUAAAAUUACUUUCUCUUUGCCAAACUCUUUCCAUUGUUUAUCUUUGUUUCCUUUUGUACUUUCU